This is a long non-coding RNA of Spinacia oleracea (spinach), 218 nucleotides long. RefSeq lists it as uncharacterized. NCBI's taxonomy places the organism in Eukaryota, Viridiplantae, Streptophyta, Magnoliopsida, Caryophyllales, Amaranthaceae. The transcript has 2 exons. The record is from RefSeq and is a predicted model, not a curated record.
GGACUCGGCGCUCAGGACGAACGAACCAAGGAAAAAGGCCUAGCAAUCAUGGAAUUGAGGUACUGCUGGGGACCACGGAAACGAGUAGUGGCGAGGAUUUCACUAUUACAAUGUUCACCUAAGUUAAUGUUAAGUUGUAACAAGUUUAAGUAGAGAUUCUUGAUUAAGUUACGCACUUUUAUUAAGGAAUUAAAAAGGAUUAUUAUGUUAAUUUUGGA